CUCAGAAAGAGAAAGGACUGAGUCACCAGCAGGACCCCGAACUGGGACAAUUAUAGCCAUGGAGUGACAGGCUGGGGUCACUGUCCCCUAAGAGGCCCUGGGCAGGCCCUUCUGGUCACAUGAAGCCUGCAAACCUCAAGCUCCUAAGGACCUGAAUGCAUUCCAAGAGGCUGACCUAGCAGCCCCAGAGCUCCAGCUGAAGGCCUGGCAGUCCCGGAGGUACUACAUUGCUGGGCAGAGGACACAAGGCAUUUCCAAGGCAGCUUGGCCUCCUGCCAGUGGGUCCCCAGAUGCCAUGCAAGACACACCUGAACGAGGGAGCAUCAGAGGAUCCAAAGCAUCUAGAAGAUGCAGGCUAGCUUCCCCUCAUGCCUCAAUAAAGCCAUGAAACACAGCAACUUGAGAUGCAAGGGGCGAUUCUGUCCCACUUGGAGAAAGCUAGUCAGUAAGAACAAAGAGAACACAGGCCCAGACUGGGAGUCCUCAGAGAAGGCAAGAGGGCCACAGUGUCCUGCAGGAGCACCAGGCAAGGGAAGAAAUACCCUAACUGCUGAUGGUUUUGACAUCACUGCACCGGCGAUCCAGGAGAAAAGACCAUUGCUUGACUGGGGCAGAAAACCGCUCUGAGCAAGAUAAGGAACGAUAAGGUUUUCUGGAAACUUCCUGUGAGAACCUUUGUUCCAGUCCAGCCUCUUCCUCACUGACGAGCACGACCCACUGCAUACUGCACAGGUGGGAAAGACAGAUCUCUCUCCAACCUUCGUCUAUCACUUGGAGACUGUGCUGGGUUUUAAUACAGGCACUCUGGCUCCUGGCAUGUGCCUGGCUCUAUGACACUAUCAGAAAAAGAAGGGUCACUUUUUUCUGGAAAGAAGACCUGGCUACUCUGCAAAUUCCUCCUGUCUCUUCUAGGAGACCACCUCACCUCCACUUCCACUCCUCUACGCAAUGAAGGACUCCAGGGCCAACCAGUGUGGGGCAGGACCACGAGCGGGAAGGAGGGAGGAACCGACUGAGAAUGAGACUUGAAAGCACAUCAGUGAGAAGCCGAAAAGUUUUCUAUUUGAACUAUGACAAGUCUCUAGAAGAAGGGACGGUGUCUAAAUAGACAUGCUCACUUCUCUCUAAUGAAGACAGCCUCAUGUCAUCAUUGCAGAUCAACACUUUUCCUUGGAAGUAGUUAGAAGACUCUUCUCUCUGGACUCCAUGAUGGCUCCACCCACCCACAUGGCCCUCCAACCCACUUGUCUUCUGAAGUGAGGAUGUAAUGUGGAGUUGAGAUAGAGGGGCGGGGAACUAGCUCCACGAAUGUCCCUUUGGUGGGCAUCUUUUCCCCAAUUACUCAAUCCCUUUGACUUUCCAUGGGAUUAAGACAGCACCAGUGUUCUGGCUUGAAUGUGAAAUAUGCUUCACAGGAUUGCUUUUUGAAAGCUUGCUUGUUCCCCAGUGAGGAGCAAACUGUGGGAAGUGUGUAGAGAGUCUUUUGUGAGGUAGGGUCUAGCUGGUAGAAGCAGAUCACAGGGUUGGGGGAACAGGCCUUGGGAGAUUACAAUGUCCCCCUACCCACUUUAAGCCUUAACUCUGUGUGCCCUGUCCAUCACCCCAUGAACACGCCGCCACUCAUCACACCUUCCCUGCCAUGAUGGACUGUAUCCCCUGAUACUGUGAGCCAAUGCAAACCCUUUUGCCCUUAUGUAAUUUUUAUCAGGUAUUUUGUCAGGGUGGUGAGAAAAAAUAAUAUAAGUAGCACUGUAUAAAAUGUCUCCCCUAGAGUAAUAUCAACAUACACACACACACACACACACAGAGAGAGAGAGAGAGAGAGAGAGAGAGAGAGAGAGAGAGAGCAGUUCAAUGACAAGACUCCUAUGUCCAGUUGUGUGUGGGGGGUGAGUAUGGGUUACAUAUAUACAUGCAUAUUUAAACAUGUGCUGGUGUAUAUGUACAUGCAUGUGUGUAGAGGCCAGAAGUUUUCAUCAGGUGCCUUCCUCCAUUUCUCCCCACUUUAUUUACUGAGAUAGUCUCUUGCUGAAUCUGGAGCUUGUUGAUUUGACUAGUCUAGCUAGCUAUCUCAUCCCAGGAACCUCCUGCCUCCACCCGCCAUGUUCUGGACUAUAGGUGGACCUUCAUGCUUGUAUGUGAGUAUGGGAAAUCACUAAGCCUGCAUUCCCAACCCCUCCUCUGCUCAGUGUUAAGGACCUGCACCUACAGAAACAUAUUAGACCUCAGCUUCUCACCCAUGCCUCUCUCUCCAGUGCAUAUCACCAGACAUAUUCUAGAUCCGUGUGUGUGUGUGUGUGUGUGUGUGUGUGUGUGUGUGUGUGUUGUAUGUGUGUGUGUGUGUGUGUUGAUUCAACUGUCAAAAACUGAAACACAGGGCAGAGAGUGUGUGGCCAAAGUGCCUACAACCCUCAUCCCAGUGACAAGUCCUUUGCCUGAGCACCCAGGCUAGACGAUUGACUUCUCAUCCUUUAGUUUCACCUGAGUUGGCUGUAAAUGCAUUGGCUGCAACCCAGCAGUCCAUCCAUAGCAAACAGACCCCAGUUCUCAGACACAGCCUGGUGGGCUGCCCAGCAGGUCUCCCACUACGUACUAUCUGAAUUUCCCUGCACUGACUUCUCCCUCAGCAACGAUAUGAGUAUCCAUGAAUAAUCAUGAAAUAGAAGGAGAUAAUUGAUAUUUAGCUCUACCAGAGGGAAGCACUAAGGAGAAGUCAUUCUUCAAUCCAGGGACUGAUAACUCAUUAGCUGGCAGCAGGCUGUGAUGGGGAAUGUUCUUCUGUAUAUAUGUUUGUCUUAUUGGUUGAUGAAUAAAAUACUGAUUGGCUAGGCAGGAUGAUAGGUAGGACUAGGAGACAAGGAGGAUUCUUGGAAGUAUAGGCAGAGAGGAGUCAUCAUGUGAUCCCAGGAAGUGACGUAGUUGGGCAGAAACUGCCACUAGGUAACCAUAGAGGACUGGAGGUCUGUACAGCUAGGCAGAAUCAGAAUAUAAGCAGAGACAAACAGGAAACCGUUCUCUUCUCUGCAGAGAUGUUGACCAGUAGCGAUGUAGCAGGCAAAGGAGUUGCAGGUCCGGUCUGCAUUCCCUGGUAAGCCAAGACCAUGUGGAAAUACAUAGAUUAGUAGUUAUGGGUUAAGAAUAAGAAGCCUGAGUCACCAGCUAACAGCUUUAUGCUAAUAUAGCAUCCGUGUGUUUCUUUGGGGCAGAGAAGGGUGGUGGGACCAGCCGGUCAAGAAAACUCACAUUACAAAGCUGAAUUAGAUGCACUAGGCGGUUGGUGACCAGAGCUGAAGAAGAGCUUGUCGGUUCCAAAGUCACUUCCACAGGAUUCACAGAUGCUCAGCCCAGAAGACCAUGCUGAGCCUGCUCAGAGGGACACUGUUACUGCCUGUUCAAGUUUUGGUUAGGCUCUGAGGACAAGUUCAGAGGUGAGCAAACUGGAUUUCCAGGAGCUAAA
RNAcentral lists this long non-coding RNA (3457 nucleotides) under Cricetulus griseus (Chinese hamster). RNAcentral describes it as "lncRNA (ENSCGRG00015031062.1)". The record is from RNAcentral. Lineage: Eukaryota; Metazoa; Chordata; Mammalia; Rodentia; Cricetidae.